CUGGAGAAGACUGGAGAGCUAGCCAAGCUCUUAUGGGCUUUGUUUUAAAGAUGGCACGGUUGGCUUUUACCUUGAUCUCUUCUUGGCAACCUCAUUACACUGGAAUAAAUUAAAUUCUGAAGUCUUCUUUUACAUAUGCUACUAUUAAAGCGUGUUUGUUUGAACAAUAAACAAAAGGCAGGGUUUUCCAAGGCCCAGUACACAGACUCAAUCAGUAACAAUUCCAGGAGGAAACCAGGAGCCAUAAAGAGGGAAGACCACCUGAAGGGAAAGUUGGGGCGCUUUCAAAUUCCUUCAUAUAGCAAAGUCUUUAUAUGUGAAGUUCUAGAAAAUAAUCAUAUAAAACGAAGUGUUAAAGAUUUCCCAAUAAUAACAAUAAAAAAGAAAAAAAAAGAAUAAGAGUGAGAGAGAGAGAGAAGGGGGAGGAAAAAACAGAGAAAUUAGAGAGAGAAAGAUUUGAAAAAACCUAGUAAUUGAUGCCUUACAUUCUUAGGAAGAAAUGAUCAACUAUAAGAGUAUGCACUAAAAUUCUUUUAUUGUUUUCUGUAUUCCUGAUGGCUUCCAUGACACUCUUGGGAUGAGUAUUUCCUGGCUGUCAGUUAAGGACAAUCUAUGAUCACUUUUCUAGUAUUUUUUCUAGUUUUAUGUUAGUCAUUGUACUCAGAAAAAUGUUUUAACUCUUCGUAAAAAAAGAAAUUAUAUCUGUAACACUAAUGGCCAAAAACUAAUAUGGCUCUGAAAAUAAAGACAAAAAGACCAAAAAAAAAAAAAAAAAAAAAAAAAAAAAAAAUUGCCCCUCCUGCACACUCUGCCUCCUCCUGUCUCCAGGCAACCACUGGUCUGCUUUCUUUUCCUAUAAUGAAUCUAAAUUUUCUGGAAUUUUUAUAUAAAUGGAAUCAUACAGCAUGCACUUUUUUUUUUUUUUUGGUCUGGCUUCUUUCACUCAGGAUAAUUACUUGGAGAGUCAUCUGUGUUAUCAAAUAUAUCAAGAGUCCAUUCCUUGUUAUUGCUGAGUACUAUUCUGCCAUGUAGAUGGACCACAUAUUGUUCAUCCACUCAUCUAUUGAUGGGCAUUUGGAUUGUUUCCAGUUUGGGAAACUUACAAAGAACGUUGAUAUGCACAUUCAUGCACACGUAUUUGUGUAGACAUAUUUUUUUUUUUCCUUUGGGGUAAAUACUUACGAUAAAAAUAGAUCAUGUAGUAAGUUUAUGUUUAACUUUAUAGACUUCUUUACCAUAGGGAAAAGGGGCUAUAUUGCUGGUUCAGCUGAAAUAGCACCUCUUAGCAACCUUUGUAUGGAAAUGGCUUGACUCAGAAUUGAGGUACUCCAUGUCUUUUGUUCUUAGCUUCAGGUUCUGUUUUGUUACAAUGCCCAUAAAUGUGAAAAACAAAACCAAAAAUCUUACAGGGUCCCUCAGAAUCUGGGAAGCAAGUAUCAAAUAUAUGAGAAAAUGAUUCAAGAAAAAACUCUUUUGAAAGGAUUCUGGGCAUACUGAGGCUUUUGCACAAACCUGCUGGUGCUCUAGAGACCUGUUUUUCAGUGGAAAUCAUGUAGAUGAGGGAGAAAUUACACCUCACACUCACAAAGGAUGUGUGGAGCCUCCAGAAUAAGUGAUUUAUAGCUGGAUAGUUUUCCAAAAGCAUAAUAACAACCAGCAAUUUUAUUUUUUUUAUUUUAUUUUUGUCUUUUUAGGGUUGCACCUGCAGUAUAUGGAGGUUCCCAGGCAAGGGGUCAAAUCAGAGCUGUAGCUGCUGGCCUACACCACAGCCACAGCAACACGGGAUCCAAGCCACGUCUGCCACCUACACCACAGCUCAGGGCAGUGCCAGAUCCUUAACCUACUGAGCGAGGCCAGGGAUCAAACCCGCCUCAUCAUGGAUACUAGUUGGGUUCAUUAACCUCUGAGCCACGACGGGAACUCCUAGCCAGCAAUUUUAAAAUCAUGUAUUUGUACUAGGCUGACUAACUUACAUACUUUCAUAUACCACAUACUCCAUGUGAAAUAUUAGUAUGAAUAUUUUUAACCUGCUAAUUCACAUUGGAGAAUAUCUCACAUACAUUUACUCAUUUGAUUCUCAUAGAAUCGCCAUCAUGGAGUCCAGGAAAAAAAAUUUCCCUGUGUUACAGUUGUAAAAAGUAGACCUCAACAAAGUUUAGGACAGGCUGGUAUAGUAGACAGAGUUCCUACACUGAGGGUGAAGAGAGCAGGGUUGUGGCAAUGCAUGUCUUUGUCAUUAAUUACUGUCAUUUAAGCCUUCUAGGCAUUAAUUUCCCUGAUGAGGUAAAAAGUUUGGGUGGCAUCAGUCUUUUCAAAUUAUGUUCUUAGAAAUAUGGUGUUUUCAAGGUUAUAAAUGAAUGAAUGGGUGAAUAAAGUCAAAUAUGGACCAUUUAAUUCCCUUCAGGAGAGUCACAAUACAUGUACCAUAUAAAAGCCUCUGAGAAAUCAUAAAGAGCCCUAUUUAACUUGGGUCCCCUAACAUUUCCCAAAGUGAUUUGCCCUAAAAUUUUUAUUGCCUAUUAAUCUUCUAGUAAUUAAUUCCUCAAGUAAUUCUUCUAAGAAAACACAAUAAUUUUAAGUAAAUAAUUUUAGCUUUGGAAGCCCUGACAUUCUCUCUGCUUUGAAAGAUGUUACUGUCCCACAUUCACAGAGCAAAGCAUGGAAGAAUAGAGCUGAGAAGCUGGGUUUCCUAACUCCUUGUCCACUGCUGUUUCCAUGGCAUUAACUAGACCAACCAGAUCUUUCCUUAUGAUGAUGGCACAUCGAAAGCUGCUGAGGAGCAAGUUUUUAUGACAGCAAAGUUUCUUGGCCUGAUUCUGACCGGGAAUGAAUUUACCCACAUGAAUGGUUUCUUCCAGUUACGUUUUCCCUUAGAGGCAGCACCUACAGGACCAAGUUUCUAUAGAAAGUGCCUGAGUUGCCUAUUUAAGGUUGUUUGAGGAAUCUGCUUAUACUGCCUGGUGAGGUGUGUUUAAACUGAAAACUUUAUUUGAAAAUAGCAAGGCUUAUUUCAUGCAGACAAAAUACAACAUGGGAAUAUUGAACCACCAGGCAAUUUCUUUUGUAGGCUUUGUUUCAGGCCACGACUAAUCUGGUCUCCAAAUCAGCAGGUGGAAGCAGUUUCUAUGAAGUCUGCCUCAGACUCCCUCAUUUAGAUAUUUUCAUGGCACUAGAAAACAGUACCUAGAGAAUCCCAAAGAACAAAUGAGAGGAAACGAUCCCCUGAUUUCUCACCCCCUGUUCUGUCACUAAGACAGCAGGGUCCUUGUCUCACACAGAGGUAGUCUCACAACAACUCUAUUUUAGAGGAAAAGCAGAAGUCAGUAAUUUUCUCCCUAGUGCUUCUGGUUUUCCUUUAAUUUCUCCAGGACAAUAAAAAUAAUGACAUUCUGAACAAUAUGAAGAUUGAGCUUUUCUCUAAAUAUCUAUAUUAUAGGACUAAACAAUGAAACUCUUUCAGCCUCCAGAUUUCAAGAAGUGUGUUGCAAAUCCAUUAAAUAUAUUUAAGUGUGUAUAUUAUGGUAGAAAAACAAUUGGUCUUUAUGGUAUAUUAUUUUAUCCUAAUUCUGAAGGAGAAAGAAGAUGCAGGCAUAUGAAAUGCGCAAAAUAUGCAACUGAGAUUGGUUUCAAAACAAGUUUAAAGGGGUUGAAAUCCAGCCACUAAGGUAUUCAAACUAACAUACCAACUGUGGGCAAAUUUAAAUUCUUUUUUUCCAUCCUCAAACAAGGCUACUGAGAUCCACGUGUUGACAGAUGUUUGAGCUAUGUAAGAUUCAGAACUGAAUUUUUAAGAACUCCACUGAGAGUCUCAUGCACUUACUAUCAAUCUCUCUUUUCUAAAGAUGUAGGGUGUAUACCCAUUUAUUUUCCACAUGAACUAUCUAAGAUUUCUUAAUAAUAAAUGGCUUGAAUAAUAGGCAUCAUUUGGAAUUCCUCAUGAAAGGAAGCUGAAUUCUGCCACUGGAUGAUUCUGAUUUUGCUCACAAUAAUGGAAAACAGGUAAAGUGUGUGAGAGUAGAUUGAGAGAGGCAGGCUAUUCUAUUAUCUCUUUUUAAUAUGCUAGGCUAUUUUCAACUAUUAAACUUGCAUGCAUUUUAUUUAAUGUGAAAUAAAUAAUAACACCUCUCCUUCCCUCAUUCACUUUUCUCCAUCUUGAAAAGCUCUUGUUUCAGGUUGCCAUGGUGAUGGUGCCACUCUGAUAUUUGUUUAAGUGAAACACUUUCAUCUUACUGACUUGAAGACAGGUACUAGAAGGGCCAGAAGAAAAACUGACAGCAUAGCCUGGUAGCUGGAAAAAAAAAAAAGGACCCCUGGUCUGUGGCCAACAGACAAUUGCCUUGAUAAGAGAAAUCACCCUAUAAGAAUGGGGGGGCACUUUCUCUCUUCCCGUGCAGUUUAUUUUCUUUUUCAAUUGUGUUUUAUUUCAUUAUGUUUUGUUUUAGGAAAGAGUAAGAAAUUGUGUUAGUUAAAUAGGCGGUGUUUAAAACUGACGUCAUUUGUAGGUAUAAGUUAGCUCUUUGGAUUUAAGGGGACCCUUUGAAGAUCAGGAAAUCUUUAAGAGAGAGCCCCUUUUUGCCCUAAGAAGUGAAAGAGAAAGACACCAUUUAUAAUGAAGGAGGAACUCCUUAAAUUGUUCCUAGGUUCAUAAUUAUGACCAACGCACUGAAAUUGAGUUUGAGAAUUUUUGCCUGCAGUGAAUGUCAUGAUGUCUUCGUUCAGAAAAAUCAACAAAAUUUCCAAUUCCUACACAACUUAAGGGUUUUUGGCUGCAGCGAAUAUCAUGAUGUCUUUGUUCAGAAAAAUCAACAAAAUUUCCAAUUGCUGCUUAAGGGUUGACUGCUGCAUACAGUUCCAGCCUGUGAACUCUUGCAUGUACAAUGGGAGUGAGAAUCACUUGUGAUGAACAUCAAUUCACAGAGGCACUAUCUCUCAUUAACUAACUGCAUUUAACUCUAAAAUAUUAUGAGUUAAGUGUUAAGAGAUAGCCUAUAUUUAUACUUGUACUUUAUUUCUCUGCUAAUGCUGCCUUGACAAAAUAGCACAGAGGCUAAAGAAUAGCCUUUGGAAUCAAAUAUACGGCAGUCCACACAUUAGUACUCUUAAGUGGAGGGCAGCUGCUAAGACUCCCGUCAGUGAGCCUUAGAGAGGGAGCUUCUUCCCCAGAGUCAUGACUGAUGUAGGGACAUCCUUGCAGUGUGUCUUAAGGCAAUGCAGGGUUGCCUACCUCAAGAUGAAGAAAGUGUGUUUCAGUGAACAAAAUUCCAGACCACUUUUUUUGCCACUCAGGCUCUGUUUGUGCCUUAACUUGCUUAUGAAUAAAAAUUAGCAUUAUGUGACCUACUAACAGAGGUAUUAUGAGGAUUGCACUUAGGACAGUUUGUGUGAUGGGGUGUCUUCACUUAGCUUUUCAAUGAUAAUAAAUAUACCUGAGGGAGUGUUACAGGUCACUCCUCUUGUGCUUGGCAAAAAAACAAAAACAAAAAACAAAAAACAGCAACAACAACAAAAAAAAACACAUAUAUAUAACUCCACCACUUUCUUUCUGUGGGCAAAUGAAUGAACACUGCUGACCAAAACGAGAGGACUAAUGGUCUUAAUAUGGAACACUGGGCUUGGCUGAACAUUGCAAUGGAUGUCUCUUUUGUAAAACGUCCUCUCAGUUUUAAUGACAGUGGGGAACGGACCUUGGGUUUUAGUUAAUUCAAAACAUGUACUUUCCCUUUAAAAUUAUUAGGGGCACUAUCAGAGUUAAAGUGUUUAUCUAAGCAAAUUUGAGGUAGUGGUAGUUUUGUAGAAAUGGCCUAGCAGUGAUUAGAGUUGGUUAUGCCAUUAAUUCUUGUGCAAAUUUGAAAGGUCCUUUCAUUUCUCUAAAUGAUAAUGUUCCUAUUAACCAAAUAAGGAAGUUAGAAGACAUCCAAGAACUUUUACCUCUCUAAAUUCUGCUUUGGUGGCAGAAUGAUAAAAGGGUUCCCCUUCUUCACCUAAGAAUCAGCUCAGCCUCUCAUACAGAGAAUCAAAGAGUGAAAUGGUGCUUUUUCUCAGGGGCUGGAAAUGGAAAUGAGGCGUUAAUAAUCAAUGGGGAUAAAAUUUCAGUUAAGCAAGAUGAAUACCUUCUAGGAGUUCCCUUGUGGUGCAGUGGGUUAAGAACCUGGCACUGUUACUACAGCCACUGGGGUCACUACUGCGGUACGGAUUCAACCCUUGGCCUGUGAAUAUACAUAUGUCUCGGGCUCAGCUCCCCCCCAAAAAAAAGACAAAUACUUUCUAGAGAUCUGGUGUAUAACAUUGGAUUUAAGGUCAACAACAGUAUAUUGUACACUUAAAAAUUUGUUAGGAGUUAGACCUCAUGUUAUGUAUUUUUACACAAUAAAAGAAAAUGAAAACCAAGAUAAAAGUAUUUUUUCAAAAAUUCAGAUUCAGCCCAGCCUUGGAAAGCCGAAGAGAGCUGGGCUGAGGCCUAUGUGGAGUUUCCAACCUGGUACCUGGUAUAUGCAUGCCCCAGCACCCAUGUGAGGUUUACACAUUUUCUGGUUCAUGAAGUUGUGCUGUUAACAACCAGUUUAAAAAAAAAAAAAAAA
RNAcentral lists this long non-coding RNA (6578 nucleotides) under Sus scrofa (pig). Its description in RNAcentral is "lncRNA (ENSSSCG00040021817.1)". Lineage: Eukaryota; Metazoa; Chordata; Mammalia; Artiodactyla; Suidae. The record is from RNAcentral.